GCAGUGAGCAAGCCUUUAAAAGAUUCUGAAUGCAGGAAGGUGUAGAAUUGAAGGGAGAUUGGGGUCCAUAAUCAAAUGCUGGAGAACCAAGGCUACCUGUCUGAAGAUGGCCCAGAGUCCUUUGUUUCUCCUAUUGAACUUCAUUACCAUCAAGCUCAGCCCAAGAAACCAAACUACAAAGGGUGGGGAGUUUCUUCAGUACAAUAACUGAGUUCCU
RNAcentral lists this long non-coding RNA (217 nucleotides) under Cricetulus griseus (Chinese hamster). RNAcentral describes it as "lncRNA (ENSCGRG00000025520.1)". The record is from RNAcentral. Lineage: Eukaryota; Metazoa; Chordata; Mammalia; Rodentia; Cricetidae.